GAAACUCUUGCAUGCCACUGGUUUGUGCUAACAGUGGCUGCAUUAUUACAGGGCCGAAUUAAUCUUCCAGGCGUCCGUUUGUGUUACUCCGAUCAGGCAGGUCUUGUUUGUGCAGGGCUGACCCUGCUUCCUGGCGUGCUCGCCUGGAGAUGCUGUGCCAGAUUCCCCAGUGCUGAGGCAAAACAACUCAGCUGGCACGUUGUGGGAACUGUGGGGACAGCGGGCCAGUGGCCAUGGGGCACACACUGCCCUGGGACUGGCAGGGACUCUGUAGGAGGAUUUAAGGGACUAAGGACCUUUGUAACUCAGAGCAAUACAUGCUUGAUCAACUUCUCCUGGGUCCUGUGUGAUUUGCAGAAGGCAUUAGCUGUAAGAGGUACCCCCUCCAUAGCACUGCCUCUCCAGCUGGCUGUCCCAUCUUCUGGCACUCAGCCUAUUGGGUAGGUCUUCCGAUCUCUUAAUUGAACAAAGAUAUGGUGAUACAGGGGCUGUGAAAUACCGCUUGCACAUCUUGUUUCCAUAUAGGAUUUGACGGUCAGUUUGCCAACACAUUCAAGACCUGCUACUCAUCUUUUUUA
Molecule: long non-coding RNA, 578 nt
Filed under: Coturnix japonica (Japanese quail)
Lineage: Eukaryota; Metazoa; Chordata; Aves; Galliformes; Phasianidae
Description: lncRNA (ENSCJPG00005017932.1)
Source: RNAcentral